This 229-nucleotide ribosomal RNA is filed under the name uncultured bacterium. RNAcentral describes it as "partial 16S ribosomal RNA". It matches the Rfam family "Bacterial small subunit ribosomal RNA", at positions 568 to 796 of the family's 1533-position model. The record is from RNAcentral.
UGCGUAGGCGGCUAGAUAAGUCAGAGGUGAAAUCCUACAGCUUAACUGUAGAACUGCCUUUGAAACUGUUUAGCUAGAAUAGAGUUGAGGUUAGCGGAAUGUGACAUGUAGCGGUGAAAUGCAUAGAUAUGUCAUAGAACACCAAUUGCGAAGGCAGCUAACUGGGCUUUUAUUGACGCUGAGGCACGAAAGCGUGGGGAGCGAACAGGAUUAGAUACCCUGGUAGUCC